This 262-nucleotide ribosomal RNA is filed under the name uncultured archaeon. RNAcentral's name for it is "partial 16S ribosomal RNA". It matches the Rfam family "Archaeal small subunit ribosomal RNA", at positions 748 to 1008 of the family's 1478-position model. The record is from RNAcentral.
CAGCCGUAAACUAUGCGCGUUAGGUGUAUCGGUGACCACGAGUUACCGAGGUGCCGAAGGGAAACCGUGAAACGUGCCGCCUGGGAAGUACGGUCGCAAGGCUGAAACUUAAAGGAAUUGGCGGGGGGAGCACCACAACAGGUGGAGCCUGCGGUUUAAUUGGACUCAACGCCGGACAACUCACCGGGGACGACAGCAAUAUGUAGGCCAGGCUGAAGACCUUGCCUGAAUCGCUGAGAGGAGGUGCAUGGCGUCAGUGACU